Non-coding RNA from Colletotrichum liriopes, 73 nucleotides. The record is from the annotation of a GenBank genome assembly. Lineage: Eukaryota; Fungi; Ascomycota; Sordariomycetes; Glomerellales; Glomerellaceae.
GUCUCUAUGGCUCAGUCGGUAGAGCGUUGGUCUCAUAAUCCAAAGGUCGCAAGUUCGAGCCUUGCUAGGGACA